This 383-nucleotide long non-coding RNA is filed under the name Panax ginseng (ginseng). RNAcentral's name for it is "long non-coding RNA (PGIN_LNC014118)". Lineage: Eukaryota; Viridiplantae; Streptophyta; Magnoliopsida; Apiales; Araliaceae. The record is from RNAcentral.
GGAUUACUUCACAACUUUUGCUUCGUUGUUGUAGUGUUAUGUAAAGAGAAUACUUAUAUUCUUUCAACUUAUAUUUAUAAUUGCUAUUACUUGCUGGGCACUCAAAUGCUCAUCCUUGCUUAAAUUAAAUGUUUUCAGUUACGUACGAUCGACCUGAAGGCUCAGGCACGAACAAGGAAAAAGAAAAGCUAUUCGAAUGAGAUUUAGUAUGAGUUAAUGGUUAUAGUUAGUAAGACAAUGGAAUCUAUUGUCAGAUAUUGUAAGGAAUGUAUUUGAAGGUCACGUACCUGGGGAAGUAAACUUUGAUGUAUGUAAAUUAAGUUCGAAUGUAUUAUUAUUUAGUAUUAUUCAGCUUAAAGAAAUGGUAUCGUGGAGAACCGAGU